Molecule: ribosomal RNA, 652 nt
Filed under: uncultured Acinetobacter sp.
Lineage: Bacteria; Pseudomonadati; Pseudomonadota; Gammaproteobacteria; Moraxellales; Moraxellaceae
Description: bacterial SSU rRNA
Rfam family: Bacterial small subunit ribosomal RNA
Source: RNAcentral
GUUGCUUCGGUAACUGACCUAGCGGCGGACGGGUGAGUAAUACUUAGGAAUCUGCCUAUUAAUGGGGGACAACAUCUCGAAAGGGAUGCUAAUACCGCAUACGCCCUACGGGGGAAAGCAGGGGAUCACUUGUGACCUUGCGUUAAUAGAUGAGCCUAAGUCGGAUUAGCUAGUUGGUGGGGUAAAGGCCUACCAAGGCGACGAUCUGUAGCGGGUCUGAGAGGAUGAUCCGCCACACUGGGACUGAGACACGGCCCAGACUCCUACGGGAGGCAGCAGUGGGGAAUAUUGGACAAUGGGGGGAACCCUGAUCCAGCCAUGCCGCGUGUGUGAAGAAGGCCUUAUGGUUGUAAAGCACUUUAAGCGAGGAGGAGGCUCUUUUGGUUAAUACCCAAGAUGAGUGGACGUUACUCGCAGAAUAAGCACCGGCUAACUCUGUGCCAGCAGCCGCGGUAAUACAGAGGGUGCGAGCGUUAAUCGGAUUUACUGGGCGUAAAGCGUGCGUAGGCGGCUUUUUAAGUCGGAUGUGAAAUCCCCGAGCUUAACUUGGGAAUUGCAUUCGAUACUGGGAAGCUAGAGUAUGGGAGAGGAUGGUAGAAUUCCAGGUGUAGCGGUGAAAUGCGUAGAGAUCUGGAGGAAUACCGAUGGCGAA